RNAcentral lists this small RNA (565 nucleotides) under Schizosaccharomyces pombe (fission yeast). RNAcentral's name for it is "small heterochromatic RNA precursor". The record is from RNAcentral. Lineage: Eukaryota; Fungi; Ascomycota; Schizosaccharomycetes; Schizosaccharomycetales; Schizosaccharomycetaceae.
GGUCAUCAAUAUUCACGCCUAAAUUUCAUAAAUUUGAAAUUUAAAAAGUAAAAACACCAAAAAAAAAGCAACAUAGACGAGAGACUGCGCAAAGUAAAAUUUGGCGACUAAACCGAAAGCCUCGAUAUCAUCUAUAUUUAAUGACUACUUAAGUUGAGAAUAGUAUUCGAUUUUUUACACUUUUAAAGGAGGACGAAAUGUGACAUUAUGUUCAUUUUUCUUGUUUGUUAAACUCCAUAACCACCACCAUGCUCUUUUGUUUUAAAAUAACAUUGACAAAAAUCAUUUUCUAACGCAUAUUUGGAAAUCAUAAACACCAAUCUAUAAUUGCUUUAGUUUUUGAGAAGCAUAACUAAAUCAUCCUCUCAAAUACAAGGAUACUAUUUUGGACAGAAUGGAUGGGAUAUUGACAGUUCAAAUCGUUGCGAUACUUUUUAUUCUUAUAAUAUGGAAUUACAAAUACCGUGGAUUAGCCUUACUCCGCAUUANGGUACUGAAAACAUCUAAACCCAUNCUACUCUAUCUUGCGGNGACUGCUUAUCUUUUGCAACCACAUAUCGGGNUU